UUGAACGCUGGCGGCAUGCCUUACACAUGCAAGUCGAACGGCAGCACGGGAGCAAUCCUGGUGGCGAGUGGCGAACGGGUGAGUAAUAUAUUGGAACGUGCCCAGUAAUGGGGGAUAGCCCGGCGAAAGCCGGAUUAAUACCGCAUACGACCUACGGGUGAAAGCGGGGGAUCGCAAGACCUCGCGUUAUUGGAGCGGCCGAUAUCAGAUUAGCUUGUUGGCGGGGUAAAAGCCCACCAAGGCGACGAUCUGUAGCGGGUCUGAGAGGACGACCAGCCACACUGGGACUGAGACACGGCCCAGACUCCUACGGGAGGCAGCAGUGGGGAAUUUUGGACAAUGGGCGCAAGCCUGAUCCAGCCAUGCCGCGUGUGGGAAGAAGGCCUUCGGGUUGUAAACCACUUUUGUCAGGGAAGAAACGGCUCUUACUAAUAUUAAGAGCUAAUGACGGUACCUGAAGAAUAAGCACCGGCUAACUACGU
Molecule: ribosomal RNA, 482 nt
Filed under: uncultured bacterium
Lineage: Bacteria
Description: bacterial SSU rRNA
Rfam family: Bacterial small subunit ribosomal RNA
Source: RNAcentral